UUUAAAAAUGUACUCCGUUCUCCAACUCCUGAAAUGCCUCUGCAGUUGCUGGAGAAAAGGGCCCGAAGGUCGCCGUUUUCAAACAGAAGCUGCCGUGUGUGCGCGCCCGGCAUGGUCUCCUCAUCCCGCCGGGGCCAGUGAGACUCUGGGGGCUUUGCCCCCGCCGCGGCAGCUGGUAGAGAAGAGACGUGUUUCACCUCCCCGACGUCUGGACCAGUCUGGAAGGGAUGGAGACGCUGUGGCCAAGUGCAGUCUCUCUCGGGGUCUCUCCCCGCCCGGGUGGACAGGGCGCUCCCUCCUCCGCCCCUGGGGCUCAGCAGCAGCCCUGGGCAGCCGUGCGGCCCUCGCCUGCGUCCUGCGGCCGUCCCGCGGUGUCAUGCCGGCAACAAUACGAAGUCGUCGUUGACGUCGACCAUGGGCACGUAGAAGGAGGGCACCUCGUUCACGCACAGGGACUUGUGCCCGGCGGGGUCCAGUUCCUGCACCUUCAGCUGCCACUCCAUCCUCUGCACGGCGUUCAGGGCCGCGGCCUCGUGCUGCUGCCGCAUGAGGAGGAAAGUCUUCCAUGUGUCUUUAUGAAGCUUUCAGUUUUUUCUCACGGCUCUGGUUAGGAAGGGCCUAGUGGCCUGGGGAGGGUGUGGUGUGAGUGACUUCCUGCACCAUCAUCUUAGGGCUGGCCAGAAAUGCACACUCAGCUACACCUGAGACCUGAGUUCCUCAGCACAAGCCCCCAGGGGCCACGCUCCCCAAAUACCCACGGCUCCCACCGGGUAGGGCUGGUGGUUCUCAUCUGUGCCCAUAUCAGCACCUUUCUGAGAGCUGCAGUAUGACACACGGGUGCUUGGUUCAGGGACCUGGGUGGUGCUGAGCCUGAUACUGCAGGUAGCCGGGGCUGCCUGCUCCCAGGCCUGGCUGGUGACUGUACAGGGUGACGCUGACUGUAAAGUUCUGUAACUUGGCAAGUUUCCGCUUUCCGUUGCCUCCUGGCGGAUCCUCCAGGGUGUCCCGGUGAGCAGCCCUCGCGACCGGGAUAAGGGUGUGCUGCCCUUCCCGGCACCUGCCCUGCCCCUGCCCGCCGCCCUGGCCAGCACUUCCAGAGCAGUGGAGGGUGAAUGCUGGGACCUUAGAGGGGGCUCACAGGGCAGUCCCAGGAGUUCUGACCAUCAAGCCUAGGGUCCUGUUCAGCUGGCGACAGGAGCCGCUGCCUGCACACCGGGACAGAAGGGAAGACUGAGGAGGCCACAAGCAGGGACAGGACCUCACCUCCCUGAAAGCAUCGGCCAGAUUAAGAGAAUCUGAAAUUGUCACCGCCCAUCACAGAACUGGGCAGCGGCCUCCCCCAGGCAGAACUGAGGGACGCGCGACACCGACCUUCAUGCGGUCAUACUUGUCAUCCACAUCCUGGAGCCAGGAGAUGAACUGGCGGGCGUUGAAACGGUCGCGCACUGACUUGUUCUCGUCACCCUGUGGAAACCAAACACGGGAGUUUCAUCAGGAGCCCCAGAGACCGCUACGGGAAGGCAUGCCAGCCUGGGCGAUGCUGCAGUGACCGUUCUCAAGGGAAAACCAAAGGGGGAGCCUCAUUCCACCGCGCACACACUGAAUCACGUUCAAGGCAUGGCAGGCGCACCCUGCCCAUCUCCCUAAACAGCUUCCCUAAAAUGCGCGUGGAGGCAGCUGGGCCUUUGUCUCCUGGGCACCGGGUGCCCGCGGGCCCCACCUGUGAGCCGGUCCCCAGCCCUGCCCCCAUGGGACAGUCAGAGCUCAGCCCACUGCCAACUCCUGGGAGAGACUUUUUUUUUUUUUUUUAGAGACAGAGUUUUGCUUGUUGCCCAGGCUGGAGUGCAAUGGUGCGAUCCUGGCUCACCGCAGCCUCCACCUCCGGGGUUCAAGCGAUUCUCCUGCUUCAGCCUUCCUGAGUAGCUGGGAUUACAGGCAGCCACCACGCCCAGCUAAUUUUGUAUUUUUAGUAGAGACGGGGUUUCUCCUGGGCGAGACUUUCUAGAUAUGUCACCGUCCUGUGUCCUGAAGGGUGGACACGGAUAAGAUGUCCAGGCUCCUCCCCUUUUUGACGGGUUCAUGGUGAAGCUGACAAUGCCGUCUGUUUCUCAGAACAUGUGGAGCACCGACAGAAACCCACUCACCUGCAGGGAACUCACUUUCCACAAAGGUGCCAAGAACAGAAUAACGAUCACAGGGAAAGGACAGUCUCUGCCAUAAACGGUGCUGGGAAAACGGGCUACGCAUCGCAGAAGAGUGAAACGAGACCCUAGCUCUCGCCACAUACAAACAUCAAGCCAAAAUGGAUCAAAGUCUGGAAUCCAAGACCUUAAACGAUGAAACCACUACAAGAAAACACUGGGGAAAAUCUCCAGGACAUUGGCCUGGGCAAACAUUUCUCAAGCAAUACCCCGAAGCACAGGCAACCAAAGCAAAAAUGGACAAAUGGGAUCACAUCAAGUUCAAAAGCUUCUGCCCAGCAAAGGACACAGUCAACAGGGUGAAAAGACACGCACAGAAUGGGAGGAAACGCCUGCAAACCGCUCCUCUCACACGGAUUCACAACCAGAACAUAGAAGGCAUGCAAUUAACUCGAUAUGAAAAAAUCUAAUAAUCCCAUCAAAAAAACGGGCAAAAGAUCUGAAUAGACGUUUCUCAAAGGAGACACACAAAUGGCCAACAGGUAUCUGAAGAGGAGCUCAACAUCAUUGAUCAUCAGAGAAAUGCAAUUCAAAACUACCAUGAGACAUCACCUCACCCCGGUUAAAAUGGCCUUUAUCCAAAAGACAGACAAUCACAAAUGCUCGCGAGGAUGUGGGGAAAAGGGAACCCUCGUACCCCGUUGGUGGGAAUGUAAAUUAAAACAGCCGCUGUGGAGAACAGUUUGGCGUUUCCUCAAAAAACUAAAAAUUGAGCUACCAUAGGAUCCAGCAAUCCCACUGCCGGGUAUAGACCCAAAAGAAAGAAAUCGGGGGCCAGGCACGGUGGCUCACGCCUGUAAUCCCAGCACUUUGGGAGGCUGAGGCGGGCAGAUCACCUGAGGUCAAGAGUUUCAGACUAGCCUUGCCAACAUGGUGAAAUCCCAUCUCUACUAAAAAUACAAAAAUUAGCCAGGUGUGGUGGUGUGCGCCUGUGAUCCCAGCUACCCACCCGGGAGGCAGUGGCUGCAGUGAGCUGAGAUUGUGCCACUGCUCUCCAGCCUGGGUGACAGAGGAAGACUCAGAAUCACAAAAAGGAAAAGGAAUCAGUAUAUUGAAACGGUGUCCACACUCCCAUAUUUAACGCAACCCCAUUUACUAUAGCUAAGGCUUGUGUCCAUCAACAGAUGAAUGGAUAAAGAAUAUGUGCUACAUACACAACGGAGUACUAUUCAGCCACAAAAAAGAAUGAGAUCCUGUCAUUUGCAAACACGUGGAUGGAACUGGAGGUCAUGAUGUUAAGUGAAAUAAGCAUAGAAAGACAAACAUCACAUGUUCUCUCUCACUUGUGGGAUCUAAAAAUCAGAACAAUUGAGCUCAUGGACACAGAGUAGAAGGACGGUUACCAGAGGCUGGGAAGGGUUGUGGGGGGCUGGCAGGGAGGUAGAAAUGGUUAAUGGGUACC
Molecule: non-coding RNA, 3603 nt
Filed under: Pan troglodytes (chimpanzee)
Lineage: Eukaryota; Metazoa; Chordata; Mammalia; Primates; Hominidae
Source: RNAcentral